RNAcentral lists this ribosomal RNA (394 nucleotides) under uncultured bacterium. Its description in RNAcentral is "bacterial SSU rRNA". It matches the Rfam family "Bacterial small subunit ribosomal RNA", at positions 28 to 412 of the family's 1533-position model. The record is from RNAcentral.
GACGAACGCUGACGGUGUGCUUUAGACAUGCAAGUCGAGCGAGAAAGCCCUUCGGGGUUAGUAAAGCGGCGAACGGGUGAGUAACACGUGGGCAAUCUGCCCCUCGCAGGGGGACAACCGGGGGAAACUCCGGCUAAUACCCCGUAAGUUUCCAGAGUCGCAUGGCUUUGGAAAGAAAGGUAGCUUCGGCCAUCCGGCGAGGGAUGAGCCCGCGGUACAUUAGCUAGUUGGUGGGGUAACGGCCUACCAAGGCGGCGANGUAUAGCUGGUCUGAGAGGAUGAUCAGCCACACUGGGACUGAGACACGGCCCAGACUCCUACGGGAGGCAGCAGGUCGGGAAUCUUGCAACAAUGGGGCGAAAGCCUGAUGCAGCAACACCGUGUGAGCGAUGAA